This 1448-nucleotide long non-coding RNA is filed under the name Crocodylus porosus (Australian saltwater crocodile). RNAcentral's name for it is "lncRNA (ENSCPRG00005000696.1)". The record is from RNAcentral. Lineage: Eukaryota; Metazoa; Chordata; Crocodylia; Crocodylidae.
CCCCCCUUCUCCACCAUUGUCUUUGGAAGGAAGCCCAUUCUUCCUGGUGUAAAAAGCUAACUUUCUCUAUAUUGAUAAUAUAUUCCUCUAAAUCCAAACCGUUGCCCCUGGACUUGCAUGUUCUUGGAGUUAAUAUUACCUGAAUCAUCUGCCAGGGGAUUUUUGUUCUUUCAGGAGCCCCCAAAGGCCACUUGGAGUGUACUCAACCUGUGAAACAAAAAUUAGGAGGAGAUCUGUGGUUUCCAACCCUGCUUUUAGAAACUGCUCUUUUAGGGGGCUGGAAUGACUCACAAUGACUAUUGUUAAUUUCUCUGUUAAUGGCUGGCUGCUCUCAAUGGGCCUUCCUGGAUAAUGAGCAGGUAGAAAUUACCCUGGAGAUACAAGCUGAUUUCAGGAAUGAAACUGAUUAUAAUGAAGCUUAUUAGACUAAUAAAUCCUCAAGGCCAUUGGAGACCACUGAUUGAUUCCAUGUUAAAGCACUAGUUUAACUAGAGCUAUUGCAUUAUCACCAUAAUAUCCAGGUUCUAGCAAGAUUAGGUUUGAGUAAGAGACUAGGAGCCUGGAAGUCCUCAGCUCUGGCACUGAUUAGUUGUGUGGGCUUUGGCAAGCUACUUAAUCAAUGUGACUCAGCUCUUCCGUACAGAGACCAUUGUAGUCUUUAUAUGUCUCAUGGGGGUAGCAUGAGGCUAAAUUCAUUUGUGGUGGCAGGGUCAUGAGAUGGCUGGCUGGAAGGCAAUGUAAAAGGUAGGAGAACUUGGCUUUCUAAGCAGAGGUGCACAGGCGAUCUACUCUCCAGUUGUGAGGAAGGACAGCAGCUCCACGUGAUCUCUGGGAAUGCCCAGCUCUUUUGGAAACCAGAGCGUGUGCAUCAUCCUUGUGAUCUGACCCAACAGCCCAGCCCCGGGAUCUGAAGAACUGACCACGCUCCAUUUUUACACAUCUAAAUUUGGCAAUGGGAUUAUGUUGCGUGGUUGGAAAGCAGCCUCCAUCCAGUCUCUUCUAAAUGAGGUCGUCUGGAAACCCUCGACUCUUGUCUGCCUCCUCCGCUUCCAUUGUAAGCCCUUUGGAGCAAAGAUUUUCUCAACUCUAGAGACAGCACCCAGUCCAAAGGAGCUGUGAUACCACUAUCAGCAAAGUGCCACAGAUACCCCAGCCAGGACAAAGGACCCCUUUAUUCUAAGGACCCUGAAGAGCUUUCAUUGUAAAUGGACACGGACAUGGCAACAACAGGUGAGAAGAAGGGAGUUUUACAAUCUGUAGUUUAUGGUUGAGGGACUGAAGUGCAGUUUUACAGGGGGUUAAGGCAGAGCCCUAGGCUGAACUCAAAUCUCCUGUUUCCAAGUCCACUGCCUUAGCUACAAGGCUUGACUUCUUGCAUGUAUGCUUAUUUCCUGCUCUUUCUUUGUAACAUUUCCCAUUUACAGUGACGUAUUCAGGCCUUUCUUCUG